RNAcentral lists this ribosomal RNA (216 nucleotides) under Campeiostachys nutans. RNAcentral describes it as "Elymus nutans partial small subunit ribosomal RNA". The stretch from base 38 to 216 matches the Rfam family "Eukaryotic small subunit ribosomal RNA", at positions 685 to 864 of the family's 1831-position model. The record is from RNAcentral. Lineage: Eukaryota; Viridiplantae; Streptophyta; Magnoliopsida; Poales; Poaceae.
GGAUCAGAUUGUCGGUCGUGCCUCGGUACGCACUGGCAUUAUUGGUUCCUACCUUCUGAGGAACUUUCAUGCCAUUUAGUUGGUGUGAUAGGAAAUCAGGACUGUUACUUUGAAAAAAUUAGAGUGUUUAAAGCAGGCUAACGUCUGAAUACAUUAGCAUGGAAUAAUGAAAUAGGACGGAUUGGUUCUAUUUCGUUGGUUUCUAGGAUCACCGUA